This 385-nucleotide ribosomal RNA is filed under the name uncultured bacterium. RNAcentral's name for it is "bacterial SSU rRNA". It matches the Rfam family "Bacterial small subunit ribosomal RNA", at positions 30 to 416 of the family's 1533-position model. The record is from RNAcentral.
AUUGAACGCUGGCGGCAUGCCUUACACAUGCAAGUCGAACGGCAGCACGGGAGCAAUCCUGGUGGCGAGUGGCGAACGGGUGAGUAAUAUAUCGGAACGUGCCCAGUCGUGGGGAUAACGUAGCGAAAGCUACGCUAAUACCGCAUACGAUCUAUGGAUGAAAGCGGGGGAUCGCAAGACCUCGCGCGAUUGGAGCGGCCGAUAUCAGAUUAGGUAGUUGGUGAGGUAAAGGCUCACCAAGCCGACGAUCUGUAGCUGGUCUGAGAGGACGACCAGCCACACUGGGACUGAGACACGGCCCAGACUCCUACGGGAGGCAGCAGUGGGGAAUUUUGGACAAUGGGCGCAAGCCUGAUCCAGCAAUGCCGCGUGCAGGACGAAGGCC